GGACUACCGGGGUUUCUAAUCCCGUUCGCUCCCCUAGCUUUCGCGCCUCAGCGUCAGGUUCUUCCCAGGAUGCUGCCUUCGCCUUUGGUGUUCUUCCAGAUCUCUACGCAUUUCACCGCUCCACCUGGAAUUCCACAUCCCUCUGAAGUCCUCAAGUCCUGCAGUUUUCCAAGGCCUGUGGGAGUUAAGCCCCCACCUGUCACUCGAAACUUACCAGACCGCCUACGCGCUCUUUACGCCCAAUAAAUCCGGACAACGCUUGCCCCCUACGUAUUACCGCGGCUGCUGGCAC
RNAcentral lists this ribosomal RNA (292 nucleotides) under uncultured bacterium. RNAcentral describes it as "partial 16S ribosomal RNA". The record is from RNAcentral.